Long non-coding RNA from Orcinus orca (killer whale), 318 nucleotides. RefSeq lists it as uncharacterized. The record is from RefSeq and is a predicted model, not a curated record. The transcript is spliced from 2 exons. NCBI's taxonomy places the organism in Eukaryota, Metazoa, Chordata, Mammalia, Artiodactyla, Delphinidae.
UCUUUGGGCUUUGGGUAAUUCUGCAGGGAAUAAAGAAGACAGCGGUGAGCCAGUAGCAAGCAACAUGAACCACAACUACAGAUUGUACUCCGACCUGUAAUGGGACCUUGAUGAGGCACCAACAGUGUCUACUUCAGUCCUGUAUCCAGUUUAUUCCUGUCCGCAUCCAGCCUCUCUCCUGCUCUUUCCACGUGUGGUGGAAGUGACAGAAAGCAUUGCAAGGAAUCUUAGAACAGCAGUAAACAAGAGUAAAGAAGAAGGAACAAUGAAAAGCACAAAAAUAUGGGUAAAUACAAUAAAUUUUUCUUCUCCUCUUGA